RNAcentral lists this ribosomal RNA (502 nucleotides) under uncultured bacterium. RNAcentral's name for it is "partial 16S ribosomal RNA". It matches the Rfam family "Bacterial small subunit ribosomal RNA", at positions 28 to 507 of the family's 1533-position model. The record is from RNAcentral.
GACGAACGCUGGCGGCGUGCCUAAUACAUGCAAGUCGAACGAACCGCGACUAGGUGCUUGCACUUGGUCAAGGUGAGUGGCGAACGGGUGAGUAACACGUGGGUAACCUACCUCAUAGUGGGGGAUAACAGUCGGAAACGACUGCUAAUACCGCAUAGGACAUAGGAUCACAUGAUCCAGUGAGGAAAGGUGGCGCAAGCUAUCGCUAAGAGAUGGACCCGCGGUGCCUUAGCUAGUUGGUAGGGGCAAGGCAUACCAAGGAGAUGAUGCAUAGCCGACCUGAGAGGGUGAUCGGCCACAUUGGGACUGAGACACGGCCCAAACUCCUACGGGAGGCAGCAGUAGGGAAUCUUCCGCAAUGGACGCAAGUCUGACGGAGCAACGCCGCGUGAGUGAAGAAGGUCUUCGGAUCGUAAAGCUCUGUUGUUAGAGAAGAACAGCGCAUAGAGUAACUGUUAUGCGUGUGACGGUAUCUAACCAGAAAGCCACGGCUAACUACGUG